Molecule: long non-coding RNA, 2499 nt
Organism: Harmonia axyridis
Lineage: Eukaryota; Metazoa; Arthropoda; Insecta; Coleoptera; Coccinellidae
Exons: 3
Source: RefSeq, a predicted model, not a curated record
GUUACAGUAACUUAGGCAUGAGUUUAUUUUCUGGUGUUGACUCUAAAAUAUUUAUACCCUUCUGAUAUCAUAUUCGAAGAAGAGUGAUGAGAAGUUUCCUUUGAAAAUUUUUGUCGCAGAUUAGAAAGUCUUUAAGAUACCAAACGGGAGGCCAACGGUGUUCCACCAAGUAGGCUUGGUUGUCCGGGUGCAGCAGUCGUAGAUUACGUGGCGACAUCCUGCACAGCUUGUUGUAGUUGAUACAUAAAUGAUUCAUGCACCAGUCUGCCAAUUGAUGACCAUUGUGCAACUAUAACAAGAAUUUAUAUAAUGUAACGAGAGUCAACUCGACCCAAAAAAGUCAGGUAUGUGAAGUAAUUGAUAGAUUGAAUAGUAAUAAUAAUAAUGGUAACAGAUAGUAAUAGAAUAAUAGAUGGUUGGUUAUUCUUGAAAUACAUACACUCAUUUCAAUAGAUUUCAAUAGUAAGGAACGCGAAAGAAACAGCAUAACUAUACAAUAUCUAAUAGUACCUACAAGAGGACAAAAGUCUUUCCAGACUUAAUAAUGAUAAUGAACAUAUCGAUUCAUCCUAAACAAAUCAAUAAUUUGAGGGUAUUUACAUUCACAAAUGUAGGAACUGAUAUGGGUAUGGUUCAUCCAAAGUCACUUGAACUAGUCCAUGAAAACGCUUGGCCAGAUGUCCUUUUGAAGUGGAUACCGCGACUCGCUUAAUACCGGGGUUUAUUUGAAAGUACUGUUAGGCAAUAAAUUCACCGGCCCCAAAGAAAUUACUGGAAACUUGGACAACCCUUGUAUAAUCGAAAUAUUCUGGCUUCUUCCAAGUGACUAUACUGAUAUACUAUACAAAGUAUAUAGUGAUAUACUAUACAAACCACAUUGUAGAAUAUCCAAGAUCGAACCUAAUUGAAAAAUAUAUUCUGGGGUAAUUCGAACAACACAGCGUUAACAAAUGAUAUUGGCGAAAAAUGACGGAUACCUAAGUUUAUAAUUGUGGAAGAUUAUUUUUGAGGCGAGUUGUCGGGCAAGAUGAGAGAAAUUUGGACAACUGUUUAUAGUUUUUUCUAUUUCUUAAUAUUUUCCAUACUUUUCUUUGAGCGCCAUAUGUUCUGCUCACAUAUAGUUGAUGAAUUUUUCCCAGCAGCUUUUUUUGUUGUUUCUAACUUCCGCGUUCACUUUAUGCACUUAUCUAGUAAACGCGAAAAUAAGAAACACCAAGAAAAGCUGCUGGGAAAAAUUCAUCAACAAUAUGUAAGCAGGACGUAAGGCGCUCAAAGAAAAGUAUGGAAAAUUCUAAGAUGAAAACCAGAAAAGCAGCAGGGGUAGAUAACAUAUCUAGUGAACUUGUAUACUAUGGAGGCCUAACAGAAUUGCUGAUUCAUGUGUAUAAUAAGUUACUGGUGACAGAAAUUAUACAACAAGACUGGCACAAAAGCAUUACUAUUUCCAUAUUCAAAAAAUGCCCUGAAAACUACAAGGCGUAACGCUCUUGUGCUUCUCCAUGAUACUCCUCCAACAUGAUUUAUCGAUUUGAGUAAAUCUUUCGUUAAGGACUCUCAAAGCAAUUUUGCCAACAUUAUUCACAGGUCUAAUUCGGGAAAUAAAGGGUUUUUUUUCGAGAUCUAUAACUUUAAGUUGUCAUUACUGUUCAAGAUGGCGACCGAUUUAACAGCUGUCAAGUGAUUUAUUCUCAGUUUGGUUUGGCAAUUCAUCAUGAAUAGACUGAACAACGCUUGAAAAUAGUGCAAUUUUAUUUCGCAAAUAAUGGUUCCGUACGUAUCGCGCACUACAUCCAUUAGCGAUGUAAAGUGCGGUGUAACUUACUUUGGGCCUAAGCUCUUCAACAGCCUGCCACCCACUGUGAGGGCGAUGCCUACUAAACAAUUCAAGCUUUGUUUGAAAAAAUACUUGUUGAAUGAAUGUUUCUUCUCAUUGAAUGAAUAUUAUUUGAAUGAUUUUCAGGAUUUUUCAUGAGUUUAUAUGUAUAAAUAUAUUUUCUUUUUGUAUUUGACGUAUGUAAACUUUGUGAAAUGUAAUAGCAUGAAUAAAUAUAUAUAUUGUUAGAAUAUUAUUUCAUCCGAACAAAUUACCAGAGAGACAACCAACCCUACACUUGAAGUUUUACUUCAUGUCGUACGGUGGCGCUGCGAGUCUGCGCGUGGCGAGGCCAUCGAGGGCCAUCGAGAGAGAAAACAAGAAUAGACCUUCGAUGAUCGAGAGCGAACGACAGGGACAUAACCUUAGUGUUUUAAGUCCUUCCGUCACCCCUUCGGUUCUGCCUUGUGAACUGUACUUGUUAGAGAUAGAGUUAGACUUACUAGAGUGUCUUGAGAAUAAACGAUUAAUAUCAUCAUCUGUGUAUUAGUGAAUACUCUGUAUUUUAUAUAACCCAAAUAUUCCAAUAGGUUAUGGAACCAGCACCCUUUAAACUGCGCACUUAUUCUGAAAAUAUGUUGUAUACACAACGAGAAAAAUAUCAUUUGAGGUAAGUUGAAUUUCAA